RNAcentral lists this transfer-messenger RNA (374 nucleotides) under Candidatus Babelota bacterium. It matches the Rfam family "transfer-messenger RNA". From Rfam's summary of the family: Bacterial tmRNA, also known as 10Sa RNA or SsrA, is named for its dual tRNA and mRNA-like properties. RNAcentral also lists the same sequence under 1 other name. The record is from RNAcentral.
GGGGGCGUCACGGCUUCGACGUGAUGUUUUGUGUUUUGAGAGCAUGUCGAGUUUUGUAUGGGAACUCGUAAAAAAACAUUCAAAACAAAAAGUGCAGACAAUAAUGCUGCUGAAAAUGUUGUAUAUGCCUAAUUAAGGCGACAGCAUUUUUCUUGUUAGUAAGAUGUGUCUAUCCAUCAAACUAACUCGUAUUACCCUAGAUAGAACUCUCUUGCAAGAAUUUUUGGUUUUGUAACAAGAGAAAAUCACUAAACCGGCUCUUAUUUAUUACUAUGCUCUUGAGGUAUAAAUGAGAGUAUAUUCAGGAGCUAAACAUGUAGUGCUUAAAAUACUUUGCUUUGCGGACAUGGGUUCGACUCCCAUCGCCUCCACCA